RNAcentral lists this ribosomal RNA (425 nucleotides) under uncultured bacterium. RNAcentral describes it as "bacterial SSU rRNA". It matches the Rfam family "Bacterial small subunit ribosomal RNA", at positions 355 to 772 of the family's 1533-position model. The record is from RNAcentral.
UGGGGAAUAUUGGACAAUGGGCGCAAGCCUGAUCCAGCAAUGCCGCGUGGGUGAAGAAGGCCUUCGGGUUGUAAAGCCCUUUUGUACGGGAAGAAAUCCUGUCGGUUAAUACCCGGCGGGGAUGACGGUACCGUAAGAAUAAGCACCGGCUAACUUCGUGCCAGCAGCCGCGGUAAUACGAAGGGUGCAAGCGUUAAUCGGAAUUACUGGGCGUAAAGCGUGCGUAGGCGGUUCGUUAAGUCUGUCGUGAAAGCCCUGGGCUCAACCUGGGAAUGGCGAUGAAUACUGGCGAGCUAGAGUGUGAUAGAGGAUGGCGGAAUUCCCGGUGUAGCGGUGAAAUGCGUAGAGAUCGGGAGGAACAUCUGUGGCGAAGGCGGCAUCCUGGACCGACAUUGACGCUGAGGAGCGAAAGCUAGGGGAGCAAA